CCGUGUUUGGAGCCACGUGCAACUUGACGUGCAGUCUGAACCCUGGAUAAGCAGGAAUGUGGAUUCUACCGCAGAUAUCCGGAUAAAACUUUGGGGAGAAAGAUCAAAGUUUUGUUUUGUUUUUGUAGUUGAGACCGCGUUGCUUCUGCGGAAAGAAAGACACGGCAGGCUCAAUGAAGAAUGCCAGGCUGCACAGCUCUCUUCCUCUCAGCAUUAACAGUGACUCUCUUCUGUGCUGCAGUCGGUCAGACUAAAUUCACUAUGAGUGCAGAACAGGAGGUCUACCAAGCAGAAGAAAACAGUAACAUCACAAUGACCUGGCUGCUCCAUUUCGAUACCAACAGGCCUCCUGACUUCCUACAAAUAAACCUCAUAAAUGUGAAAAAGAAGACACGGGUUUUCUUCUAUAACAGUGAGACUGGCACUGAGGUGUAUCCAGAUGAGAACUACAGAGGACGAGUGCAGUGUGAUUCACAGCUCGCCAGGAAAGGACGGCUUGAAUGUGUCCUAACUGAUCUCAGGCUCAACGACACGGGGACAUAUCACUGCAUCGUUGUCCAUAACGAAGAAGUUAGUUCCAAAACAUGUGACCUCAAUGUUACAGCUGCUGUUGAAAAACUGAAGACAGAAACACUGAAACCAGAGAGCUGUGAGAGGAUCGGUCUCUAUUCAGCUCUGGGUUUAUUUGCAGCUGUGAUUUUUGCACUUUCCCUGCAUUACUUGAUUUUAACGUAUUGUAAAGUAAAUAAUCAAUAUAAUUUGUAUUUAUGUGAAGUAGCAGCCUCAUUACAGAUCACUCCUGAGGUCACCUCUGACUGUAAUGAGGCUGCUGACUGUUUUUAAAAUAUUGUUGCAAUUCCUCAGAGCUGUACCACAGAGCAGUGCACACUUACAUCAUCCUCCACUCUCCCAUAUUUAACACAAACUUAUGCACUUUUAUUCCCAAGUUUGUUUGGUUUUUUUUUUCAAUUAUUUUUCUAUUAUUUUUACACCCUGACCUGCUGCAUCCCAUUUUGUUACGUUUAGACUGAAACAUGUGUAAAAGAGAAAUUUAAUCAUCACUUCACCAAAAACACUAUUUAUCCCAAAUCUGAAACAUGUUCGUUCAUCCUGGAUUGUUAUUCAUUGGUACAAUGUGUGGCUAGCACAAAUGCUAACCAUAAACUGAAAGUAAUAGGGAAAGCAGCUGCUUUGUUAUAGUUCUUACAGUUUUAAUGCUACUUCAACUUUAAAGUUUACGUUUUUGUACUGAAGGAGUUAAAAAUGUGCUGUUAAUUAACUCUGGUGCUAAUGGAGCUCCUUCAGUUUACAUAGAAGUGUUUUUGUAUCAGCUUCUGUUUGCAAACCAUCUUCUUCUAUGGAGCAGUUUAGACUUUAUAAAGGUUUGUGUGCAGCUACGUUUUAAACCUCAACAUGAUCAAAAUAGUUUGCUGUUUGUCAUUAAUGCAAACUAGUGUUAUGAAGUUUAUCGAUCAGUGUUUAUCCAACAUUGACCUUAAAAAGAAUGCACUUUGCUCACAGCUGAUGACAAAGACUUGAUUGGAAUCAGUAAUUUGAUUUUUUUUCUUUUUUCCCUCCUUCUACCUCAUAUUAUUCAGUUUACAUUAGUUUAAAACAGCCAUCCAUUACAGAUUACCUCUCAGUUCAGCUCUUUCUGUAAUGAGGCUGAUGUUAAUAUUAACUGGGAUUUCCUGGCCAGCAGUCAAACCUCUACCAGACUCUGUGAAAUGAAGGUUUUUUUUAAGUUGUUGGUGUGACCAGAGAGGUCCAAUGAAGUGAGAUUAAUUACUUAGUGGAAUAUGUUUUACCUCAUGUUUUAUCAAAGGGGGCUAAGCUAAACACAAAAUCAUUUUCCUUGCAGGAAGUACAGCUUCCUCUUUUUGUGGGUUAUAUGUCACCUUAUAUGUUGCUGUUAAUAACUUAAAAUAAAAAUUUUCAUCUCUGACCGGGGUUUUAGAUUUCUUUAAACAAGCUAACAUAAAGAAAGUCAGGCUAUGUUGAACCUGGUCCAUAUUAUAUCUCUCAGGUCUUAAUUCCAGUGUUAGAUCUGUGUGUUGUUUCACUGUGAGGCCUUUAUUCUUUUUUUUUUUUUUUUUUUUUUUUUUAAGCCUUUAUUUUCAAAAUUCAUGGCAAUUCAUAACAAAGCAACACAUAAGAACUUUGCAUCAAAAUAUAUGGCAAUACACAUGAUAUUUUACAACAAAUACAUGAAACUAAAAUUUCAGUUAACCUUCCCAAAAUCAUACUCAAACAUUUUAACAUUAUUCAUAUCUUUAAAAGAUCCCAAGGUAAAGGACUAUUAUUUUUCUGUUCUAGAGUUUUCCUCCUCCUCAAGUCUGCAAAAAUAUUCUUACAAACAGCCACACUAUCUAUCAUCUUUUGUUCAAUGACCACCUUGGCUCUUGUUUUCCAAAUGUGGGUAUUGAUAAUGCACAUGAUUAGCCAAAAAAGGCGUCUUUUAUUGUCAUACAUUUUUUCCUUAAACAGACCAUACUUUAUAGCUUUUAUGUUAUUAUCAAUAUCAAACCCCGCUUUAGCCAUUUGCUGUCUGAUCUCUACCGUUCUGUAGCAGGAUAACAGUAAAUGUUCCAGGGUUUCAUCUUCGGUACAUUGUGACAUUGGGCAUUCUUUAGUGGUGACAUAGCAGCUCCACUGAACCACGGCUCUAACCGGGAGACGUCCGACAGAAAUCAACCAAACCGUGUCUCUCAUGUUUUCAGAAAUUAGUUUAUCAUAAACAUUUUUAACUAUUAUCGGGUAUUCUCCUACGCCCACGUCCUUAUAUUUUAUCUGUCCUUCAUUAAUUUUUUUAUUAAUUAUAUUAUAUACUUGUUUAGUGCAUGUUUGUGUCCAAUUAAUGUCAAGAUCUUUCCACUGCUCUGUAAUGUCACCAAAAAGAAGCUUAUAAUAAGGUAUAUUUGAUCUAGCCCUACCUUUUAAUUUUUCCCAUUGUGCUACAUGACCGCUAAUCCACGGAGCUUCCCUAUUAAGAGGGCUAAAAACAUUUUUAAUAAACGGAAUUCUCAAAGUGAUGCGGAGAUCUGGCGCACCCAAUCCACCACACUCUUUACCUUAUACAUCAAGGUUCGUUUCGUUACCUCUCGAUUUGUUCCCCAUAUUAAUUUAACACACAAUUUGUUUAAAAGCAUAAUUGUUUUAUGAGGGGGAGGAAAAACCGUAGCGAGAAAAAAAAGUUUCGAUACUAUAUGGGUUUUAACUAUAUUAACUCGCGCUUUAUAAUUGGUGUUUUUAUUUUCCCAUUUCGCUACUUCUUCUUUAAUUUCACAUUCCUUUUUAGACCAAUUUACCAAACAGGGGUCUCCUUUGUUGAUCCAAAUUCCCAAGACUUUCAUUUCAUCAUUUACUUGUAUGUUUAUUUUCGGUUUUUGUAACGAGGAACCAAACCACACUCCUUCGGUUUUUUCCUGAUUUAAUUUUGCCCCUGAUGCCAAUUCAUAUUGUUUGAGGUGAAAAAAUAACCUACCUAACUCGUCCUGAUUCCUAAUGAUAACUGUAACGUCAUCGGCAUAAGCCAUGGCUGUCACUCUAUAGCCGUCACUUAAACAGUAUCCUUUAAUAUUAGAAUCGUUAUUGAUUAGUUUCAAUAAAGGAUUGAUGGCUAAAACAUACAAAGCAGCGCUUAGCGGGCAUCCGUUUCACUCCACACGAAGCAUGGAAUUGUUCGGUCAAACUUCCAUUUACCUUGACUUGUAUGAUGGAUUUCUUGUACAGCAAUUUCACCAUUGUGAUAAAACUGUCCGGCAUCCCAUAGGCCUUCAUUCGAAUAGAAUAAAAUAGAAUAGAAUGCCUUUAUUGUCACUAUACAGUUGUACAAUGAGAUACAGAGCAUCUCCUACUCAGUGCAAACAUGCUGGGGGGGGGUACA
This is a long non-coding RNA of Oreochromis aureus, 3886 nucleotides long. RefSeq lists it as uncharacterized. NCBI's taxonomy places the organism in Eukaryota, Metazoa, Chordata, Actinopteri, Cichliformes, Cichlidae. The record is from RefSeq and is a predicted model, not a curated record. The transcript has 4 exons.